This 393-nucleotide ribosomal RNA is filed under the name uncultured bacterium. RNAcentral describes it as "partial 16S ribosomal RNA". It matches the Rfam family "Bacterial small subunit ribosomal RNA", at positions 523 to 918 of the family's 1533-position model. The record is from RNAcentral.
AUACGGAGGAUCCGAGCGUUAUCCGGAUUUAUUGGGUUUAAAGGGUGCGCAGGCGGGCGAUUAAGUCGGCGGUGAAAUUUUGCAGCUCAACUGGUAAAGAGCCUUCUAAACUGGCUUCUUUUAGUGUAGAUUAAAUAGGCGGAAUUUUUGGUGUAGCGGUGAAAUGCAUAGAUAUCACGAGGAACUCCGAUUGUGCAGGCAGCUUACUAAACUACUACUGACGCUCAGGCACGAAGGCGUGGGGAUCAAACAGGAUUAGAUACCCUGGUAGUCCACGCAGUAAACGAUGAUUACUAGCUGUUUGCGAUACAAUGUAAGCGGCUGAGCGAAAGCGUUAAGUAAUCCACCUGGGGAGUACGUUCGCAAGAAUGAAACUCAAAGGAAUUGACGGGG